UUUUGUGGUAUUUUCUUCCCCUUGCCGCUGCAACUUUUACAAAUCAUGAAUUGUUGAUGCAGGUUGAAGAGAAAAAAAGGAGAAAAUUGUUGUUGGGAGGCAAAAAUACUGACGAUGAGCUCUUAACCAGAUUAUCCGUCUGAAUAGUUUGUAUUCUUGCUAUACGACCUUGUUCGUUGCAUUCUUGGGUGUUUUGACAAGGAGCAAGUAAUGUUGGGAAUGGAAUAUUACGAUGAAAGCAUAUGCAAUAGUGCGUUGAAGUCAUUCCCUUCAGUUCUGAACUAGAGAGUGCAGCAGUAAAGAAAUGAAAGAAGCAUAAAGGAUGCAAAGUGAGCGUCUAUACACUUUUGGAAUUGGGAGACGACAAAGGUUCAAUCUUUUACUAUGUGUCAAGACAUCAUUUCCAAAUACAGAAGUAUUCUGUCCAUCCAAAUUCGUGCAUCUAGCCAAACAAUUCUUGAUGUUGCUUUGAGCUAGCUGCAUGGUUCAGAGAUGGUUCUUCAUUUCGGCUUCUCUUCAUUUGUGAUUGGCUGCUUCUUUCAGAGCUUAUGUGUGAGUUUCCCUCUUUUCAAAUUCCCCUCUGAACCUACUAAUUUGUUUGAUGGUAGAUGUGAGUGCCAUAUGGACACUCCAGUGUCCUGGUCAUUCUAAAUGCUUUGGGGGCGUUAACGUCUGUUUAAUUCAUUUAUUGUUCACAUGACGGCUUGCACAGCUCUUUGUGGUCAUUGCCUUCGAAGAUGGCACGAGAGCAGGCCGUCCACCACUGACAACUGGAGGACAGAUGCUUGCGUCGGUGGAACAACCAUCUCUGGAGACUGAGGGUGCCACCAUCGUGAGGCGACAGUCGCAUAGAGACGGCUGCACCGCUGGUAUGCACUGUUGCAUGCGAGGCGGGUAGAGCAAGGCCUGUUUUGGACGGAUUCAAGGCCCGCACCUUCUCCAUCUCUGCAUGGCACGGCCGCAGUUCCGUCUCACAACUACCAGCAGAGGAGACACAGAUUUGAGUUCACCACUACCUCAUCAUGUACAGUUGCUAGCUAUUUCAUCUCCUGUAUUGUGCUAGCUUGUUGUGGUGGAUUAAAUAUAUUGCUUUAACCCAAUUUGCAAAGCUGGAUUUCUGUUAGGAGGGGCAUCUACAGUGUUUCCUUAACAUCAGCUAGGGGAAGAGACCAUGGGAAGCAAGGGGAAAGUUUGGAAGUUGGUAAGUCAUUUACCAUAGCUCUCAACCAUGGCCUGGUAAUAGUCUUCUUGUUAUCUUUUUAUUUUCCAAUGAAAACCUGUGGGGGACGAUAAUAGUGGGAAAUUCUAAGUGUGUUUUGUUUACAGGCAUUGACAUGCAUAUCUUAUUUAAACCUUGAGGCUCUAAAGUCAUAAUAUGCAUAUCUUAUUGAAAACCUUGAGGCUCUAAAGCCCUACAUUCCAAAUUUCAACACAUGAAUUGUCUAGGAAGAUUUUGAACUAAGCAGAAAUCAAAUAAUAUUUUGAUGUAUCUCCUUUCAUCUAAAUAAAGAACAUGACAUUUCCUUUCUAGCAAAUUAAAUUGUAUCUUUGCAUUUCUGUAAUUUGUUCAGCCUGUGACUUUUGGUGUUUCUGUGAAGAUUUUCAAGUAUCACUUCCAAAUUUCAGAUCAUGAAUUGGCUAGGAGGAUUUCCAGCUAUGCAUAACUCAAACAAUAUUUGUAUUAUCUCUUUUUGUGGCAUUUUCUUCCCAGCAAAUAAAAUUGCAUCUUUACGGUUAUUCUGAAAAAUAAUUUUCUCCAUCUAUGUGGGAAUAUCUUCAGUCAUGUAGUAUUACUUACAUUUUGUGUUCUCUCUGUU
This is a long non-coding RNA of Lolium perenne, 1817 nucleotides long. RefSeq lists it as uncharacterized. The record is from RefSeq and is a predicted model, not a curated record. NCBI's taxonomy places the organism in Eukaryota, Viridiplantae, Streptophyta, Magnoliopsida, Poales, Poaceae.